This 387-nucleotide long non-coding RNA is filed under the name Elaeis guineensis (African oil palm). Its description in RNAcentral is "long non-coding RNA (EGUI_LNC049736)". Lineage: Eukaryota; Viridiplantae; Streptophyta; Magnoliopsida; Arecales; Arecaceae. The record is from RNAcentral.
UUAAUUAAUCUAAUUAAUUAACAUAAAUUUAUCCUACACUAGGAUCUAAAUAUGAUAUAUAGCAUGCAUUCAUUUAAAUUUGAAAUUCAAAUUCGAACAGUAAACACUUUACUGUAAUGUGUUCAGAACACAAUACCUUUGUGCGGGUAGUAGAUCACCGCAAUCUGAUCACCGUCGGGAGAGUCUGAUCAUCGUGACACAACCACACAGUGUGUCUGACCUCUGCGGAUCAUCCACACGAAGCUCCCGAUCUGAUCGACUCCUCACGAGUGCUAGCUUGUUGUAGAGCCCUUUUGACGGUGGAUGCUGAUCGAACUCCUUCGAUCAAUGUCUGUCGAUUCUUUGGAUGCUUCGGAUUAUCAACAGAUGUGCUUGAGAGGAUGUUGA